Molecule: non-coding RNA, 453 nt
Organism: Chlorocebus sabaeus (green monkey)
Lineage: Eukaryota; Metazoa; Chordata; Mammalia; Primates; Cercopithecidae
Source: RefSeq, a predicted model, not a curated record
AAUGGAUUAAGUCACCUCGGGAGUGGGUCAGUUAUUGAGAGAGUGGGUUGUUAUAAAAGCAAGCCUAGUCCCUCAUGCUUUCCCUUUUAUACUCACUUACCCUUCUGCUCUUCUGCUGUGGGAGAAUGCAGCAUAAAGGCCCACACCAGAUGCCUGUGCCAUCCUGUUGAACUUCAUAGCCUCCAGAAUGAUCCUGAAUUCCAGCGGAAUGGCUGACAUCAACCAGUUUGAAGACCCUCACAGAAGAACCCAAUCAGCAUGAGAAUGCAGUUCCUUCAUCUUCCAUCCCAUAAUUUCACUUUGCACUCUUCAACCAAUCAACAGUCUCCAUACCUUGGCCCACUACUCUUUCAGACCCUUUAAAAUCCCUAGUCCCAGACUCCUCAUAGUGGCACAUUUGGGGUUUCCUCCCUUCUCCUCAUACAGCUGUUUACCAUUAAACCUCUUUCUGUG